RNAcentral lists this ribosomal RNA (459 nucleotides) under uncultured bacterium. RNAcentral describes it as "partial 16S ribosomal RNA". It matches the Rfam family "Bacterial small subunit ribosomal RNA", at positions 338 to 795 of the family's 1533-position model. The record is from RNAcentral.
CCUACGGGAGGCAGCAGUGAGGAAUAUUGGUCACUGGUCGGGAGACUGAACCAGCCAAGCCGCGUGAGGGAUGAAGGUACAGAGUAUCGUAAACCUCUUUUGUCAGGGAACAAAGGCGGGGACGUGUCCCCGGAUGAGUGUACCUGAAGAAAAAGCAUCGGCUAACUCCGUGCCAGCAGCCGCGGUAAUACGGGGGAUGCGAGCGUUAUCCGGAUUUAUUGGGUUUAACGGGGGCGCAGGCGGUCUGUUAAGUCAGCGGUCAAAGCCCGGGGACCAACCCCGGCCCGCCGUUGAAACGGGCAGUCGCGAGUUGGAGAGAGGUAUGCGGAAUGCGCGGGGUAGCGGUGAAAUGCAUAGAGAGCGCGCAGAACUCCGAUUGCGAAGGCAGCAUGCCGGCUCCACACUGACGCUGAGGCACGAAAGCGUGGGUAUCGAACAGGAUUAGAUACCCCUGUAGUC